UCUCUUUUUUCUAAUUCUUCUCAAUACUUUCAUGCCUCGUACCUUUUGUCUCGCUUCUCAAUAGCUCUGUUCUUUCUUUUUGGUAGAUUUCUGGAUUGUGAGGCGUGACAGCAUUGAGCUUGUGACGCUAUUCCGGAGGUGCAUGCCCCAUAGAGACUCACUCUUCAUGGCCAGAGUUGGGUUGGACUCAAGUCUAACUGUAUGGUGCAACUCCAUGGAGACCCGGGGCACUACCCCACUGCACCUCUUCCUUUUCAAAAGAAAAACAUAGAUGUUGUUCCCAUUGCUACUCUUCUCAUUUGUUGAUGUUUAAGGAACCCCUCACCUCUCACCAGCAUGUUCUUCUACCCAUCCAUAGAUUGCCAGUUCUGGUUACUGCUGUCGGCUGGGGCGACCACCUCCGCAAGUUAGAAAACAAUACCCAGCUGCGUAGAUUGCUGCCCGAUGAGGCAUGACGCUGUUGAGAUUCCAUCUUUGCUAGUGAGUUGAAGGAAAUCUUUGCCUCUCACCAGUCACUCACUGUCGCCAAGCGGUGUGACCACCUCCACAAUUGAAAAGUGACACUAGGCUGCAUAGGUGAGUAGUUUCUUCCUUGAUUCUUUUGUCAAUUGCCACAUUCAGUCAUUCUCACUCUUUUAUAAUUCUUCUCUGUUCUUUCUUGCUUCGUUUCUACAUUUUUAAUUCUCAGUAAUUUAGUUCUUUUUUUUUGGCGGAUUGUUGGCCCAUGAGGUGUGAUGGUGUUGAGCCCAUGAUGCUGCAGUGGAGGUGGAAGCCCUUACAGCUACACCUAUGACCAAACCCCCUCCGUUGAAUAGCGUUUAUGGAUUAGGGGCUUCUAGGGUUUGAUGGAGGGAGGCAGUGAUGGUGAUUCGUAUGCCCCAUGGAGACCCACUCUUCAUUAGCGGACUUGAGUUGAACUCGGGUUCAAUUUUUGCCUGCUGGUUCUGGUCAUUGUCGCUGGGCAGGCCGACCACCACUGGCUAUGUAGAUUGCUGGAUCGUGAGGCAUGAUAGUGUUGAGCUUGUGACACUACUAUGGAGGCAGAAUCCUGUGUUGUUCCCCACUGGUAACUGUACCCUCACUGCGCUGGGGAGACCCCCUCCACAAGUCAGAAAACAACACCAGGUUUCAUAGUAACUCAGUUCUUUCUUUAGCCAAACUGCUGGCUCAUGAGCAUGACGGCAUUUAGCCCGUGAUGCUGUUGUGGGGGUGGAAGCUCCUGUUGUUAUUCGCGGGUGACUAAACCCUCACACCUUGGACUGCUAGCUUCAGUCACUAUUGUCGGUCGGGGCAACCACCUUUGUAGCAGCAUCACAGGUGUAGCCUCAUUCAGUCAUUCCCUCUUUUUGAUUCCUUCUAGCCUCAUUCAUACCUUCUCACUUCUCUAUAACUCAGUUGUUUCUUUUUGACAUAUUGCUAACCCGUGAGGUGGGUGUAGAGCCCGCGACGCUGCUAUGGAGAUGGAAGCCCAUGUUGUUCUCCACCGGUGACCAAACCCUCACUGCCUUGAGUCUCUAAUCUUACUUCUUAGUUGUUGUCUUUAUUUUUAUUUUUUUGUUUUAGGAUUGUUAUUUAGUUGUUGAAUUAUUGAAUUUACUUCUAGUUCAAUUAGGAAUGUGUCGUACCCUAUAGCAUUUAAGGAUUUGAGGAUUCUAGGCCAAAGGGAUGUAGUGGUAGAGAGACGUAUGCCCCACAAAGACACACUUUUUGUGGGUGGACUUGGGUUGGACCUGGGUCCAACUGUAUGGGGCAGCUCCUUGGAGACCCGAGCAAUGCCAUACCAUGCCUCCUACAUUUCAAAAGUAAAACAGAAAUGCUCCUCCCACUGUGCCUGUUCAUUUUUCUUGAAAUUGAAGGAAUCCCUCGCCUCACCAACAUGUUCUUCUGCUCAUCUGCCGUGUUGCUGGUUCCAGUCACACGCAUGGAGGGUUGACCACCUUUGCAAAUUAAAAAACAACACCAGGCUAUGUAGAUUGUGGGCCUGUGAGGUGUGGCAGUGUUGAGCCUUUGACGAUGUUGAGCCCAUGACAUUGCUGUGGAGGUGGAAGCCCCUGCUUUUCUCCAUCGGUGACCAAACUUUCACUGCCACCACCAGUUUCUGUCACUGUUGUUGGCUGGAGUGACGACCUCUGUAGGUCAGAAAACAACACCCAGCUGCACAGCCAAUUGUUAGCCUGUGAGGUGUGUGAGUGUUGAGCCUGUGACACUGCUGCAGAGGUGGAAGACCUUGUUGUUCUUCAUCAGUGACUAAACCCUCACUACUGUGGAAGCCUCUCUUAUUCUCCACUGGUGACCAAACCCUCACUGCCGGAUUUGCCAUAGCCUAUAGCGAUUAGGGAUUUGGGCUUAUAGGAUUUGUCGGAGUGUGGCAAUGGUGGAGAGGCGUAUGCCCCAUGGAAACCCACCCUUCAUUGGUGUACUUGGGUUGGACUUGAGUCCAACUGUAUCGGCCGGCCCCAUGGAGACCCGGGGCAUUGCCCCACCACGCUUCUUGCUUUUUGAAAGAAAAAUAAAAAUGCACCUCCUACUAUGGCUCUUCACUUUCCUUGAAGUUGAGGGAAUCCCUCGCGUCUCAUCGGCUUGUUCUUCUACACGUCUAUUGGACUGCUAGUACCGAUCACUAUCCUCAGGCGGAGCAACCACCUCUCCAAGUUGAAAAACAACAUCCAUCUGCAUAAAUUGUUGGCUCGUGAGGUGUGACAGCAUUGAGCCCAUGACACGCUAUGGUGGUGGAAGCCCCUACUUUUCUCCAUCGGUAACCAAACCCUGACUGCCGGUUUUGAACCCUCAAAGCAAGUUGCUCUACAGUUGCUAGGGUCAGACAACGAGAACUUUCCUAUGCAUAAGCUAGGUGUGGAUAUGCUAAGGAAAUUGUCACUUCAUCAUGGCUAUGUUUUGGUUUUACUAUUUGAUGGUUUUGUAAGGAGGAAUGAGGUCAUAUGUGAUGUUUCUUGUGAUAAUUAUGUACUUUAACCCAACUAUAUUCUUAUUGCAUUUGAACAACCAAUUUGACAUCAUGCAGCUGCCAAAAAAGUCAUUUUGUAGUUACAUGGCCUGAAAGAAGGAAGAUGAGAAUUAAUCUCAGUCAGUCGGGCAUAGCAUGCUGGCAUUCAAUGCAAUCUUUGCUUUUGGCUAUUGUUUUACAUAUAGUAAAUUAUAAAAUUGAGAAUUUUAGUUGCAUUAUUGUGACUCAUUCUAACCUUUAUGUUGGUUCCAUAUCUAACUUGUGUAGAAGCUCAAGUUCCUAAGGCAUUAAUAACUUAUUUUUAAUUUUUAAUUUCAUAUGCAUUUUACGUGAGAUUGGUAACCCUAAUUUUUCUCCAUAUUCAGUAAUCUCCUAUCCACAACAAAAAGUGGGUUCCAGUAACAUGUCUAAAGAAUUUUAGUUUCAUGUUGGGUUGCCAUAGCAGAUUGUUUUGAACAGGCUAGAACUUGAAUGAACUGGUGGAAGCUAUUUUUUCUUUUAUCUUUAUUAUGUAGCAUGCCAUGAAGUAAGGGUUUAGAUACAGAAAAGUGAACUAGGUCGUUAGCUCAAGUUGGAAAGGUUGUUAACUCUCAAAAGCCAUUGAUAGUUAAGGUUAAACCAUUUUGCAAGUUAGAAUCAAGGGGAUCUAUCUAUUUAUUAACUUUAUUUAUAGGCUUGCAUUUACUUAGAAAAACACGUUCUUAGAUUUUCAACUAAAGAACACUUGCAGACUGCAGUCAUAAAUGUCAAGUGACUUCUAUAUACAUGAUUGCCAUCAUGCUUUGAGUUGCUAUGCUCUUGUUUUUGAUGCAGUAUAUACUCCCAUAAACACCAGAUUACUGCAUGGAUCAGUCAUUAGAGGAAUCAAGAGUUGUUCUAGUUAGUGGCAUGGAGAUGUUCAUUAGACAGGCAAGGGGAUAAUUCAAACACUUCAUUGGUUUACUUGGUAGGGAUUCAGUUUUCUCACAUAAAAUUGUUGUUUUGAAUGCUUAAUUUUAAAAUUUUGAUCUAUCUAAUUUUAUAUGUUGCGUGCACCUAAGAACCUGAUGCGCAAUAUCCUAAAUUAAUUUUAGGAUUCUACAAGCUCAUGGACUGCGUCAUCCUUGCCCAUAAAAGGUUAUAUGUCUCUUAUUUGACCAACAUUAUAUGUUUGAUCUAGAGACUCUUCUUAUUGUUGUGUUGUACUUUUUAAAAUUUGACACUAUAUUGAUCUCUCAUGGUUCACACGGUGAGGUGCUUUAUUUGUCAAGAAAGUUUUCAUAUUUUAGGGCUGCCAUAUUUUGACACUUUUUUGAGUUCGCUUCAUUCACAAAUCCUAUUUAACUGUUAUAUUUGUAUAUGGUUUUUAGUGUAACUCAAGUUAGCUAGGUUUGCUCCUUAUGAGAGGAUGAUAACUAAAUUUCUGAAGGUUGGUACAUAAACUUCCUGUACUUACUAAGAGGAUGAUAGACUUUAUGAGGAUUUCUUGUAGAUUAUCUGAAUGUCAUUUGAAGGUUUCUAUUUUAAUUUUGUAACAAUUUUAACAAUAUUGACAAUCUUCUAUUAAGGUAAUGAUCUUUUUUUGGCGUUUUUGAA
This is a long non-coding RNA of Nymphaea colorata (pocket water lily), 4540 nucleotides long. RefSeq lists it as uncharacterized. The transcript has 16 exons. Lineage: Eukaryota; Viridiplantae; Streptophyta; Magnoliopsida; Nymphaeales; Nymphaeaceae. The record is from RefSeq and is a predicted model, not a curated record.